CAUGAUUUUUAAACAUUAACUAUUUAAUGUUUUCAAGUAUGUAAUGCGAGUGAUAAAGUAGAGUACUUAUUUGAGUGAGAGGAGCUAAUUUGAGAGGUUUUGUCUGGUUCCUGCUGUGAAGCCACGGUUUAUGUGUAUUUGCAAUCCAGAUAGCUGCCUCACUGACCUCUAGUGGUGGGGUCCUGAUGGGGGGGACAAUGGCUAACAGUGGGUUCUAGAAGCCAGUACAAAUGAUGUAAUGAAGUCAAAAGGAACAUGUGGCCUUGCCUAAGUUUGGUCAACAUUGAUGGGAGCUUUCUGUAAGCCAGAAACUUCAAUGUAAACAGAUGCUAUUUUCCAUUCAUAUUCAGCUGUAAUGAGCAAAUUUAAUGUAUUAAAACAACAAAAGAACUUCAAGAAUGAGUCAGUGAUUCAAGUUGCAUGGAAACCAAGGGAAAAAUCAAGCAUGAAGUUUGCAAAACCGUUCCAAAAUUCCGUUUUCGAUAAGGAAUUGUGGAGCCCCUGUUCUUUGAGUCUGCUUAGCCAAUGCUGUCUGCGCACCUUUGCAUGAUAAACAGAGUUCCCAGCCAAGGAAAAGAAGAAACAGUGUGUGAGCAGAUAGUCACAAUUAAGUCUGCAAAUUUAUUUUUUUAGCUAGUCUUUGCCUAAAUGAAGACCGAAGUACUCCGAAAAUCUACAAUUACAUGAUUCUAAAAGAGGCAAGUUUGUGAUGUAUCUUUCUUUGGGUAUUUCUUUGAAUAGCCUAGAGUAACGAAAGACCUAGAUGUGGUGCUAAACCAUAGAUAUGGAUGGACUCAAAUCACCUCUAUAUAUUACCUUCUCAAUCCUUACCAAAUCAAUUUCUGGUAUGGACAGCACACCCAGUUUCCCCAGAUGCUCUCCCUGAAACCAAAGGUGGAACUAUGACUGAGGAUUUUCUCAGUAUUUUCAUCAAAGCCGAAUAAUAUCUUCUCAUCAUAGUGCAAAGGAAUUUCAGUUUCUGAUAUCCUAUUUGACUUUGACAAUAAAUCAAAAGAUCCUGCUCCUUC
Molecule: long non-coding RNA, 1028 nt
Organism: Herpailurus yagouaroundi (jaguarundi)
Lineage: Eukaryota; Metazoa; Chordata; Mammalia; Carnivora; Felidae
Exons: 3
Source: RefSeq, a predicted model, not a curated record